RNAcentral lists this ribosomal RNA (253 nucleotides) under uncultured bacterium. RNAcentral describes it as "partial 16S ribosomal RNA". It matches the Rfam family "Bacterial small subunit ribosomal RNA", at positions 524 to 776 of the family's 1533-position model. The record is from RNAcentral.
UACGGAGGAUGCGAGCGUUAUCCGGAUUUAUUGGGUUUAAAGGGUGCGUAGGCGGGGAAUUAAGUCAGCGGUGAAAGUUUGAGGCUCAACCUUAAAAUUGCCGUUGAAACUGGUUUUCUUGAGUGUAGUUGAAGUAGGCGGAAUUUGUGGUGUAGCGGUGAAAUGCUUAGAUAUCACGAGGAACUCCGAUUGCGAAGGCAGCUUACUAAGUUAUAACUGACGCUGAUGCACGAAAGUGUGGGUAUCAAACAGG